ACAUCACCGGUUCGCGUACGAUCGUGGAAGUUAAGCAACGUAGAGCCUUGUUUGUACUUAGAUGUGUAACCGCUUGGGAUUACCAGCUGCUGUAA
Molecule: non-coding RNA, 95 nt
Organism: Acanthosepion pharaonis
Lineage: Eukaryota; Metazoa; Mollusca; Cephalopoda; Sepiida; Sepiidae
Source: the annotation of a GenBank genome assembly